ACAUUAGCCUAUCAUUCACUCGCCUAACCUCGACCACGGACUCCCUUAGGUCCCCAUAAACCAGGAUGCCCACUCCAUUCUUACCCCUCUCAAGCCCAGUGUACCACAGUUUAAACCCAUCAGCGUCCCGCGCCUUCGGCCCUUUCCACCUAGUCUCCUGGACACACGCUAUGUUAACCCUUCGCUGUUGCAGAACCUUCGCCAACUCAAUGGACUUACCCGUCAGA
RNAcentral lists this long non-coding RNA (227 nucleotides) under Nicotiana benthamiana. Its description in RNAcentral is "long non-coding RNA (NBEN_LNC024273)". The record is from RNAcentral. Lineage: Eukaryota; Viridiplantae; Streptophyta; Magnoliopsida; Solanales; Solanaceae.